AUUGAACGCUGGCGGCAUGCCUUACACAUGCAAGUCGAACGGUAACAGGUUAAGCUGACGAGUGGCGAACGGGUGAGUAAUGUAUCUGAACGUGCCCAGUCGUGGGGGAUAACUUCUCGAAAGUGCAGCUAAUACCGCAUACUACCUGAGGGUGAAAGCGGGUGAUCGCAAGACCUCGCGCGAUUGGAGCGGCCGAUAUCAGAUUAGGUAGUUGGUGAGGUAAAGGCUCAGCAAGCCGACGAUCUGUAGCUGGUCUGAGAGGAGGACCAGCGACACUGGGACUGAGACACGGCCCAGGCUCCUACGGGAGGCCGCAGUGGGGAAUGGUGGACAAUGGGCGCAAGCCUGGUCCAGCCAUGGCGCGUGCGGGAAGAAGGCCUUCGGGUUGUAAACCGCUUUUGUCAGGGAAGAAAAGGUUCUGGCUAAUACCUGGGACUCAUGACGGUACCUGAAGAAUAAGCACCGGCUAACUACGUG
This 477-nucleotide ribosomal RNA is filed under the name uncultured bacterium. Its description in RNAcentral is "partial 16S ribosomal RNA". It matches the Rfam family "Bacterial small subunit ribosomal RNA", at positions 30 to 507 of the family's 1533-position model. The record is from RNAcentral.